AUACCUGGGGAAAAAACAACAGGGAUUGCCUCAGUAACGGCGAGUGAAGCGGCAAUAGCUCAAAUUUGAAAGCUGGCUCACGCCCGCAUUGUAAUUUGCAGAGGAUGUUUCGGGUGCGGUGCCGGUCUAAGUUCUUUGGAACAGGACGUCAUAGAGGGUGAGAAUCCCGUAUGUGACUGGUGGCCUGCGUCUAUGUGAAGCUCCUUCGACGAGUCGAGUUGUUUGGGAAUGCAGCUCUAAAUGGGUGGUGUACUUCAUCUAAAGCUAAAUAUUGGCUGGAGACCGAUAGCGCACAAGUAGAGUGAUCGAAAGAUGAAAAGCACUUUGGAAAGAGAGUUAAACAGUACGUGAAAUUGUUGAAAGGGAAGCGCUUGCAACCAGACUUGCGCGGCGUCGAUCAACCUGGGUUUUCCCUGGUGCACUCGGUGCCGUUCAGGCCAGCAUCAGUUUCGGCGGUUGGAUAAAGGCCUGGAGAAUGUGAGUUGCUUCGGCGACUGUUAUAGCUCUAGGUGUCAUGCAGCCAGCUGGGACUGAGGACCGCGCUUCGGCUAGGAUGCUGGCGUAAUAAUUGUAAGCGACCCGUCUUGAAACACGGACCAAGGAGUCUAACAUUUACGCAAGUGUUUGGGUGUGAAACCCAUACGCGCAAUGAAAGUGAACGGAGGUGAGAACUCGUUAGAGUGCAUCAUCGACCGAUCUUGAUGUUUUCGGAUGGAUUUGAGUAAGAGCGUAGCUGUUAGGACCCGAAAGAUGAUGAACUAUACCUGAAUAGGGUGAAGCCAGAGGAAACUCUGGUGGAGGCUCGCAGCGGUUCUGACGUGCAAAUCGAUCGUCAAAUUUGGGUAUAGGGGCGAAAGACUAAUCGAAUCAUUGAGCACUAUUAGGUGAUUGAGAGACUUUUUGUAACUGAAGAGUCUAGUCGUCUUAGCGGCGGCUAUACUGCAAAAUUGCGGGGACUGUUCUAUAGAUUCAGGCUACCACAGCGCGCUCGAAAGGGCUCGCCACGGUCACAAGGCCUGAAGCUGAAUUUAUCCGCAACUAGAAUCUACCGUCACGCUUACCCGGAGGUGGUUCCCACACACCUUACCCGGCGAUUGUGAUCACGGUUCUGGCUCAUCGACUAGAUGGCAGUGGGUGCGCUCAGCGCCUAAGGGAUAGUCAGUCCGGCGCUGGCAGACGCUGAAGCUACGCUCCUAUUGUU
This 1201-nucleotide ribosomal RNA is filed under the name Coccomyces quercicola. RNAcentral's name for it is "Coccomyces sp. CLH-2019b partial large subunit ribosomal RNA". It matches the Rfam family "Eukaryotic large subunit ribosomal RNA", at positions 46 to 1393 of the family's 3401-position model. The record is from RNAcentral. Lineage: Eukaryota; Fungi; Ascomycota; Leotiomycetes; Rhytismatales; Rhytismataceae.